UGCAUCAGCAAAGCAGAUAAGCUCAGCCUCUCUUCAUCUGAAAAGGGAACAGAGGAGUAGCAGCAGGAGACAGUGCAAUACUUCAGGAUAUUGUGAAGAUUUCAGGCAACAAGACUACUUUCAGACACCUCUUGGAUUGCUUUUUUCUAGCUGUAUCCAACACUCCAGCUGAGUGUGAUUUGCCUCUUAAUCAGAGAUUUCAAAAAUCAGGCUCCAUCUGCUAAAGAAUUCAAAGAUCCUGGAUUUGAGAGGCUAUUUAUGAACAUCAAACUGUUGGUUUCUCCCUGGAGUAUCAUGCCGAUGUGCAGCUGCACAGCUGCAGCUCUUCAACACCAGGGGAAGUAUGAGCUAUCCACAGACACCAGUAAAAAUCCAGGCCCAAGCAGGCCACACAAGGACCUGCCUCUAUAUCCAGAGCAAAAACUCUGCAGUUGUCUCAAGGGAGCAAAGUUUCUCUCAUGCCUGAUUCAUAACCAGUGGAUAAUUUCUCAGAAAUUGGAUUUUAGCAUUUGCCAGCCACAAGUUGUCA
This is a long non-coding RNA of Poecile atricapillus (Black-capped chickadee), 529 nucleotides long. RefSeq lists it as uncharacterized. The record is from RefSeq and is a predicted model, not a curated record. NCBI's taxonomy places the organism in Eukaryota, Metazoa, Chordata, Aves, Passeriformes, Paridae. The transcript is spliced from 4 exons.